GACGAACGCUGGCGGCGUGCUUAACACAUGCAAGUCGAACGGAAAGGCCCCUUUGGGGGUACUCGAGUGGCGAACGGGUGAGUAACACGUGAGUAACCUGCCCUUGACUUCGGGAUAACUUCAGGAAACUGGGGCUAAUACCGGAUAGGAAUCCUUGCUGCAUGGUGGGGGUUGGAAAGCUUCGGCGGUUUUGGAUGGACUCGCGGCUUAUCAGCUUGUUGGUGGGGUAGUGGCUUACCAAGGCUUUGACGGGUAGCCGGCCUGAGAGGGCGAACGGCCACAUUAGGACUGAGAUACGGCCCAGACUCCUACGGGAGGCAGCAGUGGGGAAUAUUGCACAAUGGGCGGAAGCCUGAUGCAGCAACGCCGCGUGCGGGAUGACGGCCUUCGGGUUGUAAACCGCUUUCAGCAGGGGCGAAGCUUGUGGUGACGGUACCUGCAGAAGAAGCACCGGCUAACUACGUG
Molecule: ribosomal RNA, 465 nt
Filed under: uncultured bacterium
Lineage: Bacteria
Description: partial 16S ribosomal RNA
Rfam family: Bacterial small subunit ribosomal RNA
Source: RNAcentral